RNAcentral lists this unclassified non-coding RNA (221 nucleotides) under Bartonella sp. LEV. RNAcentral's name for it is "partial 16S-23S ribosomal RNA intergenic spacer". Lineage: Bacteria; Pseudomonadati; Pseudomonadota; Alphaproteobacteria; Hyphomicrobiales; Bartonellaceae. The record is from RNAcentral.
CCUUUCUAUGGAUGAUCAAGAAUGGGCUUAGGCCUUUUUUGAUCUGAUUAGACAUUGACGGUUUAAAGGUUUAUUUAAACCGUUCACAAAUUUAAACAUCCCAUGAACCGUGGGUCUUAAAUGGAAAACUCUGUCCCCUUUGUAUAGAGUGUGACUGUUUUCUAUCCAUGGUUCAUCUGUUUAAAAACUUGUAAAAAGACUAGCCGCCUUCAUUUCUCUUU